This 825-nucleotide long non-coding RNA is filed under the name Marmota monax (woodchuck). The record is from RNAcentral. Lineage: Eukaryota; Metazoa; Chordata; Mammalia; Rodentia; Sciuridae.
GUUAUAUAUGACAGCAAAAUGCAUUACAAUUCUUAUUAUACAUGAAAAAAAAAGAAUCUUAACAGAAGAGUUAUAACAGCUUAGACAGAUUCUUACACUAUCUACUUUUAUACAACAGUGACUUUUCUGCCUCUCACCAGGCCCAAAUUUGACCUGGAAAAUUUCAUGAGCCCAGACAUCCUGUGCUUAUGCUGGACACAGGGUAGAGAGUAAGAAGGAGAAGCAGUCCCUCAAAUGCCUGGAUCACUGUCUGUGGUUUAUCGGGGAAAGGGAUGGUUUAUGCUAAUGCAUCCCCAGUUCUCUCUAUAUGCUUGAGAGGACUGCAGUGUCUUAGGGUUUUUUUGACCUAGUUGUGUCAAUAAUGCAGUCAUACAUCCCCUCAGUAUUCCUCACCCAAAUCAGCUAACCUCAUAUUCCUUGCUUCAGUACUUCAGUGUCUUGAUACUAGUAUAUUUAACUGACAUUCAGGAUGAUUUUAUGCUGUCAAUGUAAUAUGAGCAAAUUAAAUUAUUCCAUAUUAAAUUAAUAAAGAUCACACUUAGUAUUCAUAAGUUAAGAUUGUAUAGGCACAGAUGCCUAAAUCAUUAUGUUUAUACUUUGUGAAGGCCACUAUAGGAGGGUAACUAAAAAAUGAAUAAAAAAAAAAGAAUUUAGAGGAACAGACUGAAUAUGAACGACAGUAGGGGGCACUUGUAUGACAGUGUUCAGUUUGAAAUUUGGACUUUAACUUCUACUUGUUUCUUGGGGAGUUUAUGUUUUUUCCUUAUGCAACUUUCUUUAUGCAAAACUGACAAUUAUAUUUCUUAUAAAUACAUCUGAUGUGGU